GGAUUUUAUUUUUAAAAAAAUGGUGAAACUCUCAUAUUUUUUGGAUCAAUAUUAAAUUUAAUAUGAAUUAAUGAAAAUCAAAGGAAUAAAAACUAAAAUAAAAAAAUAAAAAAAACGUGGACCACUUGAUCUCCCUCAUUAAUUGAGAUGGCAGAUCAAGUGGUCUGAAACGUGUAAUCGACGAUGGUCUUGAGUCAAC
This 199-nucleotide long non-coding RNA is filed under the name Lathyrus oleraceus (garden pea). RNAcentral's name for it is "Pisum sativum (pea) long non-coding RNA (PSAT_LNC016623)". The record is from RNAcentral. Lineage: Eukaryota; Viridiplantae; Streptophyta; Magnoliopsida; Fabales; Fabaceae.